UGAAUCCUGCGUGCUGUNCAAAAAGAUG
Molecule: non-coding RNA, 28 nt
Filed under: Mus musculus (house mouse)
Lineage: Eukaryota; Metazoa; Chordata; Mammalia; Rodentia; Muridae
Source: RNAcentral